GAUGAACGCUGGCGGUAUGCCUAACACAUGCAAGUCGAACGGUGUUUUCGGACAUAGUGGCGGACGGGUGAGUAACGCGUGAGAAUCUGCCUUCAGGAUGGGGAUAACAGGGAGAAAUCGCUGCUAAAACCCAAUGUGCCGAAAGGUGAAAUACUUGUAGCCAGAAGAGGAGCUCGCGUCCGAUUAGUUAGUUGGUGGGGUAAGAGCCUACCAAGGCAGCGAUCGGUAGCUGGUCUGAGAGGAUGAGCAGCCACACUGGGACUGAGACACGGCCCAGACUCCUACGGGAGGCAGCAGUGGGGAAUUUUCCGCAAUGGGCGAAAGCCUGACGGAGCAAUACCGCGUGAGGGAGGAAGGCUUUUGGGUUGUAAACCUCUUUUGUUAAGGAAGAAGAAAGUGACGGUACUUAAAGAAUAAGCAUCGGCUAACUCCGUGCCAGCCGCCGCGGUAA
Molecule: ribosomal RNA, 451 nt
Filed under: uncultured bacterium
Lineage: Bacteria
Description: partial 16S ribosomal RNA
Rfam family: Bacterial small subunit ribosomal RNA
Source: RNAcentral